Molecule: ribosomal RNA, 497 nt
Filed under: uncultured bacterium
Lineage: Bacteria
Description: partial 16S ribosomal RNA
Rfam family: Bacterial small subunit ribosomal RNA
Source: RNAcentral
GAUGAACGCUGGCGGCGUGCCUAAUACAUGCAAGUCGAGCGAACGGACGAGAAGCUUGCUUCUCUGAUGUUAGCGGCGGACGGGUGAGUAACACGUGGAUAACCUACCUAUAAGACUGGGAUAACUUCGGGAAACCGGCGCUAAUACCGGAUGAUAUUUUGAACCGCAUGGUUCAAAAGUGAAAGACGGUCUUGCUGUCACUUAUAGAUGGAUCCGCGCUGCAUUAGCUAGUUGGUAAGGUAACGGCUUACCAAGGCAACGAUGCAUAGCCGACCUGAGAGGGUGGACGGCCACACUGGAACUGAGACACGGUCCAGACUCCUACGGGAGGCAGCAGUAGGGAAUCUUCCGCAAUGGGGGAAAGCCUGACAGAGCAACGCCGCGGGAGGGAUGAAGGUCUUCGGAUCGUAAAACGCUGUUAUUAGGGAAGAACAUAUGUGUAAGUAACUGUGCACAUCUUGACGGUACCUAAUCAGAAAGCCACGGCUAACUACGUG